RNAcentral lists this microRNA precursor (173 nucleotides) under Salicornia europaea (common glasswort). RNAcentral's name for it is "miR11035 stem-loop (seu-MIR11035)". Lineage: Eukaryota; Viridiplantae; Streptophyta; Magnoliopsida; Caryophyllales; Amaranthaceae. The record is from miRBase by way of RNAcentral.
UUAUGCGACCCGUUUUACCGAUCGUUUGGUUGGGUGUGUCCUUAGUCGCCCCAGAGAAGCCAUACCCUUAAGAGGUUGAGUCGAAAGACAAAGGAAGUAGAAAAGGCUGGGGCAAAUAUCUAAAUCAUUAAAAUGCAUCAAAACCAAAUUUAUCCUUAAAGUGUGUCAUUCUG